GACGAACGCUGGCGGCGUGCUUAACACAUGCAAGUCGAACGGAAAGACCCUGCUUUUGUGGGGUGCUCGAGUGGCGAACGGGUGAGUAACACGUGAGUAACCUGCCCUUGACUUUGGGAUAACUUCAGGAAACUGGGGCUAAUACCGGAUAGGAGCUCCUGCUGCAUGGUGUGGGUUGGAAAGUUUCGGCGGUUGGGGAUGGACUCGCGGCUUAUCAGCUUGUUGGUGGGGUAGUGGCUUACCAAGGCUUUGACGGGUAGCCGGCCUGAGAGGGUGACCGGCCACAUUGGGACUGAGAUACGGCCCAGACUCCUACGGGAGGCAGCAGUGGGGAAUAUUGCACAAUGGGCGGAAGCCUGAUGCAGCAACGCCGCGUGCGGGAUGACGGCCUUCGGGUUGUAAACCGCUUUCGCCUGUGACGAAGCGUGAGUGACGGUAAUGGGUAAAGAAGCACCGGCUAACUACGUG
Molecule: ribosomal RNA, 468 nt
Filed under: uncultured bacterium
Lineage: Bacteria
Description: partial 16S ribosomal RNA
Rfam family: Bacterial small subunit ribosomal RNA
Source: RNAcentral